AUGAUUGGCUGGAAAGGAACCCUUCCGUCCCCCGCCCCUACAUGUGGCUUAGGGAGCGGACCAGGUGGUGAGAAAAGGAGGAGGAUGGAAAAAGAGUGAAAAAAGGAGGGGAGGAAGAGGGGGGAACCUAUGUCCUUAAAUAGGAUGAUGAUGUGCGGGAGACGCACAGCUCGAGUGUUCUGAGAAUGGCUGUAUGACUGGAGGCGCUUGCUUGGCGGGGGGGGGGGGGCUCUAGUUCUGCCCUCACGUUGAGCGCCUCCGCUCACGAGCGCAGCACGUGGAAACCCUCAGCGAUUUAAGUCUGCAACGUGUGUGAAGGGAAGGGUGAUACGGUGUAUCCGCUCCUCUCUCGGAGGCCCAGCCCUCGUGACUCCCUGGACUCUCUCUCCUCUCCUCUCUCCCUCUCUCCUCCAAGUUGGUGGUGGUAGUGGGGGUGGGUCAGUGGUAGAGCGCCGGCCUAGCAUAUGCAAGGCCCUGGGUUUAUUCCCCAGGACCACCACCAAAAAGAAAAACAAAACAAAACAGAAAACCAACUCCUCCGAGUUGAGUGCCUCCUGCCCUGCUGGGUGAGGGUGGGGAUUGCAGCCGAGAACACCGCGUCCUGUCCCAAGCUCCCGCUGGGGCGGCUCUGCGAGCACAUUCCUUACAUAACCUGCCGCGCACGUUACCAGCUCAGAUGCCAGCCCGCCAAGACUCUAGAGGUCAACGCCGAACUCGGUUGGUCCUUGACUUUUCUCCCGGGCUCUUUGGGCUUUGCGCCCUGAAUUUUCUGGUUCUGAGCACCGGGAACAUUGGGACACACAUCCCGCCCUGGAGGAGGAGCCCCACCAGGAGGAGGGCGACAGGACUCUGCAGGCUGGACACAGCAGCACUCAGGGAUGGACUCUGCUAAAAUACAGACAGCCCCACAGCAGGCCGCAUCAGCCUUCCCACACCCCUCCAGAAGGGACUCUGUCUUCCAGAUCUCCGCAGCCCCCUACACUGGGGGCCAGCAUAGAUGAGCUCACCCGCCGCUGAACUGCACCUCGCACCCUCUCAUUUGUUCCCCAGCGCCCUAUCAUGAUAGAGGACCUGGUGCAGAAGCUGGGGGAGAAGGGUGGACUUACCCAAGAUAAGUGGCACCACAAGGAUGGCUACGAAGAGGAGAUCCAUUCUGGAUUUUGCACUGUCGUU
Molecule: long non-coding RNA, 1173 nt
Organism: Heterocephalus glaber (naked mole-rat)
Lineage: Eukaryota; Metazoa; Chordata; Mammalia; Rodentia; Bathyergidae
Source: RefSeq, a predicted model, not a curated record